Molecule: long non-coding RNA, 2802 nt
Organism: Anolis carolinensis (green anole)
Lineage: Eukaryota; Metazoa; Chordata; Lepidosauria; Squamata; Anolidae
Exons: 2
Source: RefSeq, a predicted model, not a curated record
GUGCACUUUCAAAAGAUUUGUUUAAACCAAGAGAACAGUUUGCUCAGGAAGUCUUAUGAUUUGAAGGACUGAUAUCCUCAUCUUUGAUUGAAAAGUGCCAUUUCACUGAUGCACUAAAACUCUGUUUUGUUUUUAGAAAAAUGAAAGAAGAAGACAAUAGGAAGUAGAUUAAAGAAUAAUUAUUUUACCUUUGCCACCAUUCACCUUGAAACAAAACUAGCAGGAGUGACUUGAGAAACUGCAAGCUGCUUCUGGUGUGAGCAAAUUGGCCGUCUGCAAAGACUUUGCCCAGGGGACGUCGGAUGCUUUGGUGUUUUUACCAUCCUUGUGGGAGGUUUCUCUCAUGUCACCGCAUGGAGCUAGAGCAGAUAGAAAUCUACGCUUUCCCUGGGUUGGAUUCGAACUGGAAACCUUCAGGCCAGCAACCCAACCUUCAAGUCAUCAGUCCUGCCAGCACAAGGGUUUAACCCACUGUGCCACCAGGGGCUCCUAUUUUAAUGUUGUGACCUCUGUGGAGAUGGAUCUCAGAUGCAGCAAGUUAUGAAACAGAUGUGGUGAGUUAUGUAUGCCAUUGCCUUACCAAAGGUGACAUACAAUGGUGGGGGUGCAGAAACGAUGAACCGCAAAUCAAUCUUUGGUGUCACCAUUCUAUUGCCUUAUAGGAGUAAAUCAUACCAGAAAUCAAAAUGCCAAGUUAGGGAACAGGGAGAACAGCUUGUAAAGGAAGAAGAAACCAUAGACAUAAAAUGCUAGAAGUUGCUGGUGUAAGCCAUCACAUGCUAGAGUGAAUCAGAAUAGAUCAUUUCUACAAGACCACCAGAAAUCAGAGUGUUAAAGGCAUGAGGAGGAAGGAGGAGGAGCGAAGCAUCUACAUUCAUUUGAUCACCUAACACAACAUCAGUCAACAACAGGGAUGCUUUGGGGAUGGAAAGCACACCAAAAACUGCCUUGCAUCACCCAACUUCAUUCUAGAUGGUCAAGAAAAAUACCCUUACAGCAGAUGUUGGAAAAUGAGGAUAAACGCAAGAACUGUAAUUUUGAGUACCAGAAAGGAUGUCUCAUGAAUAAACAAUAGUCUAAGCACAAAAAUCCCCUGCAGUUAUGGUUACGCUACUUGUAGAUGGGAUCUGCCAGUAGAACCAGGGGCUUAGGUAAUUUGGGGCAAUACCAUUCCUCUUUAUUGACUCCACAAUCUCUCAGGGAUCAUCUGAGGAGGAUUCACUUAAGGAAAAAAUGGACCUUUGGUGUUUUCCUCAAUUUAUGCUACAAGGAGCCAUUGCAGCAACAGAUUAGGAGUGAGGGUAGAUGUGGCUCCACCAACCUUUCCCAGACUCUCCUCAACCCCUAAUUUUUAGAAACUUGGAAUUACGGAGGGCAUCUUGGGUACCUCCAAGAAGUAGUUUUCUAUUUAAUCUCUAAUCCAACCAGCCAGGGAACAAGAAAGUCACAACCACAAGUGAUUUAUGGGGAAAUUGUGUAGGGCAACGAUUGUAGAAGCAAAACUUGGUCAUCAUACAUUUUGCAGCUGCUUGGUUUUGGCUUAGGGCACCCACAAAUGCUUCCAAGUAUUGUAUUAUUUUUGAUUAAGUACGACAAAGUAUGCUCUUUCACAUUAUAUACAUAUAUUUUUAUUCCAUUUUAAUGGCAUGGCUCCAUCCUGUGAAAUCUUAGGUUUCCAGUUUAAGGUGGGGUAUUUAGAAUUAUCUGUCAGGCAGCUCUAGUACCUGACCAUAUUACAAUUUUUUUUGUGGUCCUGUAGGGUGCAGCUACAAUAAUAUAGUAUCUAGGUAUUAUAAUGCUGUACAGUGAAGAGAUUUGUUUGUAAGAGACUGGAAUGCUCUUAUGUUGCUAUUGUUAGAAGUGGUCCAAUUCUUUUAGAAUUAUGACAGAAUAAUAACAUGCUUUCUCUUGGUACUAACAUUGUAAUAGCUUCUGCAGAGGGGUGAACAACUUAUGGACUUUCCAACCAUUGCUGGACUGCUGCAUCCAAUAUCCUCCAUGAUUGGCUAUGCUGCUGGGUUUCGUGAGAGGGAAAUAUAGUUGGCUCUCUGCAUUUGCAGGUUCAGCUUUUGCCGAUUUGAUUGAUAUGUUCACUUUCAGAAUCUCUUAAAUACCAUAGAGCACGGUUUCUUAAAUUUUUCUCACUCGUGCUCCUUUCCGCCUGAGAUUUUUUUUAACCUUUUUGCCAAUUUUUAAUGUAGCCCCAGGUAUAUAGGUACAUAAAAUAGGUAUAAAAAUGAAACUUUUACUGAUAAUACACCUGCCUUUGCAAGAUGUGCUAAACAGGGUAAUUUCCUAUGGUGGCGUACAGCUGAAGCAUUUUCUGCAGAGUCCACUGUAAACAUUUCAUGUUGUCACAAACAGAUUUGUUUAAAUGGGUGGUGUUCAAGAAACUUUUACUGUUGUCAAAUUUUUCGUGACCCCAACAUUGAGCUAAAGGGAUCCCAUUUGGGGUCAGGAACCAGUGUAAGAGGUAGUGCCUUAAGGUGACUGUAUGGUCAAAGUGACUCUAUGAUCAAAUUCUAUUACAUGUUUUUGCAGGUGGCCAUAAAAUCACCCUGGAGAAGUGUUCACUUGGGGGGGGGGGGGGAAUAGAGGAUUUUAUGGCUUGAUAUGGAAUUACUGAUUUUUUUUAAAAAAAAUACUGUACACUGUUUCUGGUAGGAUGCAUGUUGCAGCAUUCAGUGGAGGUGUUUAUUUUGUGAACACACCUACCUUGAGCCAGCUUCAAAGUGGAUUUCAGUUUGAAGGGAUGAAUAGAUAUCUCCUAGAUCAAGGUAAAUAAUAAAACCCUCAAGAUAU